CAGUAGCCACGGUAAGACAGAGGAUGCAAGCGUUAUCCGGAAUGAUUGGGCGUAAAGCGUGCGUAGGCGGCUUCUUAAGUCGGAUGUGAAAUCCCUGAGCUUAACUUAGGAAUUGCAUUCGAUACUGGGAAGCUAGAGUAUGGGAGAGGAUGGUAGAAUUCCAGGUGUAGCGGUGAAAUGCGUAGAGAUCUGGAGGAAUACCGAUGGCGAAGGCAGCCAUCUGGCCUAAUACUGACGCUGAGGUACGAAAGCAUGGGGAGCAAACAGGAUUAGAUACCCGCGUAGUCCCUGUCUCUUAUAC
Molecule: ribosomal RNA, 301 nt
Filed under: uncultured bacterium
Lineage: Bacteria
Description: partial 16S ribosomal RNA
Rfam family: Bacterial small subunit ribosomal RNA
Source: RNAcentral